Molecule: non-coding RNA, 356 nt
Organism: Zootermopsis nevadensis
Lineage: Eukaryota; Metazoa; Arthropoda; Insecta; Blattodea; Termopsidae
Source: RefSeq, a predicted model, not a curated record
UGUUUUAUUUUCUAAUUUUCAGUGCUGUUCGCUUGACUGGGCCAUUUGUUACAAUGGUGUAUUCUAUGAUAGUUGGUGACAUGCUUACAUUCGGUAUGAUCUAUUCAAUUGUUUUAUUUGGCUUCUCACAAUCAUUCUACUUCUUGUACAAAGGAUUUCCUGGAGUUAAAACAUCUCUAUACCAUUCUUAUUCUUCAACAUGGAUGGCUUUGUUUCAGAUUACACUUGGUGAUUAUAAUUAUUCAGAGUUGAGUCUCACAUCGUAUCCAACUUUAGCAAAGACAGUCUUCACAAUUUUUAUGAUUCUUGUACCAAUUCUGCUAUUAAACAUGUUGAUUGCCAUGAUGGGCAAUACG